Long non-coding RNA from Coffea arabica (coffee), 570 nucleotides. RefSeq lists it as uncharacterized. The record is from RefSeq and is a predicted model, not a curated record. NCBI's taxonomy places the organism in Eukaryota, Viridiplantae, Streptophyta, Magnoliopsida, Gentianales, Rubiaceae.
GCCAUUGAUUAGGAAUCUAAAAAGUUAGAAAGUCCUCCCCACAAGCCACAACACAGCAACGGUAGUCACUAAUGCUACUGGCCCAUCAUCCAUAUCCAUCCACGCUUCUACGUCUUCACCGACAAAAAAGAGUGCGAGUUUUGAGAUGGAACCUCCCCAGGUCCAAGCAAUAGACGGCAACUACCCUCCACAGGAAGAUGUGCAGGACAAAGUUGUCAAUGAAUGUUGUUCUUGCUUCUAUGACUGCUCGGAUAGCUGUCUCGAGUACUUUUGCUGCUACGACCUCUGUUAGUUUCUAGGAUGCCACGGGAGUACGUUUACAGUUUAUCGACUUCUUUUGCUUUAGUUAUAAGAGCUGUCAUUUUUCUUGGUGUUCAACUGAAGGAACAAGUUCAUGGUCUUUGCUGAGAAAACUUGUUUUUAAGUGGCAUAUAAAAAUCUCUUCAGAUGAGGAAGUAAUCGGUUCUUCGUUCUUCAGAUCUGUUUAACUUUUUAUUUCUCUUUCGUUUUUUAUUUGUGGCUGAUAUGAUAUAUGAUCAUUUGCGUUGUGGAUAUUAUUGAUUGCUCGAA